GAUGAACGCUAGCGACAGGCCUAACACAUGCAAGUCGAGGGGCAGCACAAGGAGCAAUCUGAGGUGGCGACCGGCGCACGGGUGAGUAACACGUAUGCAACCUACCUGUAAGAGGGGAAUAACCCGUUGAAAAACGGACUAAUACCGCAUAACACUGUAGAACCGCAUGGUUUGACAGUUAAACAUUUAUGGCUUACAGAUGGGCAUGCGCAUGAUUAGCUAGUUGGUGAGGUAACGGCUCACCAAGGCAACGAUCAUUAGGGGUUCUGAGAGGAAGGUCCCCCACACUGGUACUGAGACACGGACCAGACUCCUACGGGAGGCAGCAGUGAGGAAUAUUGGUCAAUGGGCGAGAGCCUGAACCAGCCAAGUCGCGUGAAGGAUGAAGGUUUUAUGAAUUGUAAACUUCUUUUGCAGGGGAAUAAAGUGCGGUACGUGUACCGUUUUGUAUGUACUCUGCGAAUAAGGAUCGGCUAACUCCGUGCCAGCAGCCGAC
This 496-nucleotide ribosomal RNA is filed under the name uncultured bacterium. RNAcentral's name for it is "bacterial SSU rRNA". It matches the Rfam family "Bacterial small subunit ribosomal RNA", at positions 28 to 518 of the family's 1533-position model. The record is from RNAcentral.